This 202-nucleotide long non-coding RNA is filed under the name Nicotiana benthamiana. RNAcentral's name for it is "long non-coding RNA (NBEN_LNC000095)". The record is from RNAcentral. Lineage: Eukaryota; Viridiplantae; Streptophyta; Magnoliopsida; Solanales; Solanaceae.
UUUUUGCUGCGAGUUUGCAUGUGAUGACCACCCUGAGAGGAUGAAGGUGGCGGCAUAGUGGUUGUAGCGGCAGCGGGGGCCGCUGGCGGUGCCGCAAGAGGCGCUGGUGGCUUGGGCGUUGGCGCCGGCAGUGCGUCAGGUGAAAGAUCGCUAGUGGGAGCGGCGGCAGGUACUGGCGGAGGCAGCGGAAGGACUUCUAGGG